Long non-coding RNA from Salarias fasciatus (jewelled blenny), 593 nucleotides. RefSeq lists it as uncharacterized. The record is from RefSeq and is a predicted model, not a curated record. Lineage: Eukaryota; Metazoa; Chordata; Actinopteri; Blenniiformes; Blenniidae. The transcript has 2 exons.
UCAAAAUAUUGAAAGUUUUCCAGUGAGCAACACAAGAAGCGUGGAUACGACUGAAGCCCAAUGCCGGGGCUUGUUAUGAAAGACACGCAAACUCUUGUGCUCGGAAAAUCGCGGUUAUCAGAGUGAAAUAGUGUACCGAGUAGCUAAAAUGGUCCCCACUUGCAAAGGGUGCAGUCUCCGUCUUUUAAAACUCCCUCGCUGGAAUUGGUGCCUGGCACGUAAGUUGGCUCAUUCAUCUUGGAUGCGGAUGGUGCCUGUGUGGCUGCAGCGUAAUUUACACUCUCCCAACCUAUGUGCCAGAACACAUCUAUCCCUGUGGCCCAGAGGCUCACAACGCCAGUGGCCCAGAGGAUGUUUCUUGUGUGUGUGUGUGUAUCUGCGCUGAUGUGGGUACAACAGGAAGUGGUGCUCAGGUCUCUCGGGGCAUGGUUCCAGGUCCCUGGGCCUGUCUACUGUCAUAAGUUCCAGAGUGGUGAUUACUUACUGCAAAAAUAAACACCAUUACCAUCUGGUGCUGCCUUUUUUGUGCUGUAACUUAUACACUGAGAAAAGCUGUAGACCAUCAAAACACACAGAACGAAGAACAAUAACCU